RNAcentral lists this ribosomal RNA (254 nucleotides) under uncultured bacterium. RNAcentral's name for it is "partial 16S ribosomal RNA". It matches the Rfam family "Bacterial small subunit ribosomal RNA", at positions 524 to 776 of the family's 1533-position model. The record is from RNAcentral.
UACAGAGGGUGCAAGCGUUGUUCGGAAUCAUUGGGCGUAAAGGGCGUGUAGGCGGUCUGUUAAGUCAUGUGUGAAAUCCCUCGGCUUAACCGGGGAACUGCGUCUGAUACUGGAUGGCUUGAGUUUGGGAGAGGGAUGCGGAAUUCCAGGUGUAGCGGUGAAAUGCGUAGAUAUCUGGAGGAACACCGGUGGCGAAGGCGGCAUCCUGGACCAACACUGACGCUGAGUGAGCGAAAGCCAGGGGAGCAAACGGG